RNAcentral lists this non-coding RNA (28 nucleotides) under Rattus norvegicus (Norway rat). Lineage: Eukaryota; Metazoa; Chordata; Mammalia; Rodentia; Muridae. The record is from RNAcentral.
GCUCACCCUUUGUAGCUCUUGCCGAACU